CAGCAGCCGCGGUAAUACGAAGGGUGCAAGCGUUAAUCGGAAUUACUGGGCGUAAAGCGUGCGUAGGCGGUGAGUUAAGUCUGCUGUGAAAUCCCCGGGCUCAACCUGGGAAUGGCAGUGGAUACUGGCUCGCUAGAGUGUGUCAGAGGAUGGUGGAAUUCCCGGUGUAGCGGUGAAAUGCGUAGAGAUCGGGAGGAACAUCAGUGGCGAAGGCGGCCAUCUGGGACAACACUGACGCUGAGGCACGAAAGCGUGGGGAGCAAACAGGAUUAGAGACCCCCGUAGUCCCUGUCUCUUAUAA
This 301-nucleotide ribosomal RNA is filed under the name uncultured bacterium. RNAcentral describes it as "partial 16S ribosomal RNA". It matches the Rfam family "Bacterial small subunit ribosomal RNA", at positions 509 to 809 of the family's 1533-position model. The record is from RNAcentral.